Long non-coding RNA from Thunnus maccoyii (southern bluefin tuna), 302 nucleotides. RefSeq lists it as uncharacterized. The record is from RefSeq and is a predicted model, not a curated record. The transcript is spliced from 3 exons. NCBI's taxonomy places the organism in Eukaryota, Metazoa, Chordata, Actinopteri, Scombriformes, Scombridae.
UCUCUCCCAAGUUCUAUGAAAACUUUAACCAAAGUAAAGGGACAAUUAGCAUAAUUUCAAGUGACAGUAGACCUGCUGACCAAGUCCCUGGCUAUCCAAAAAUUGACUCUGGCUGGGGGUGAGGGGUUAAUGAAAUUUACCUCCCUGAAAACAGGAGUUGUGACUGUAUGCUGGCGGCCAGAUUCGAAAGGGUUCAUCACCAAUAUUCUGUGGCGGUGAAGGGUGAGGUUGACAGAAUUGGGGUGCUGGAUACCAUAGUACAUGGACUGGCUCUGCCACCACGUGGGCUCUUCAUUCCUGUU